CUGCCCCGAAGACCGGGAUAACCCUCCGAAAGGAGAGCUAAUACCUGGAUACCCCCACCGAGUCGCAUGGCUUGAUGAGGAAAUGGAUUCCGCUUCGGGAGGGCCUCGCGGCCUAUCAGCUUGUUGGUGAGGUAACGGCUCACCAAGGCGUCGACGGGUAGCUAGUCUGAGAGGACGAAUAGCCACACUGGGACUGAGACACGGCCCAGACUCCUACGGGAGGCAGCAGUGGGGAAUCUUGCGCAAUGGGCGAAAGCCUGACGCAGCAACGCCGCGUGGGGGAUGAAGGCUUUCGGGUUGUAAACCCCUUUCAGCAGGGACGAUUAUGACGGUACCUGCAGAAGAAGGACCGGCCAACUACGUGCCAGCGGCCGCGGUAAUACGUAGGGUCCAAGCGUUGUCCGGAUUUAUUGGGCGUAAGGAGCUCGUAGGCGGCUUCGUAAGUCGGGUGUGAAAACCCCAGGCUCAACCUGGGGACGCCACUCGAUACUGCGGUGGCUUGAGUCUGGUAGGGGAUCUCGGAAUUCCUGGUGUAGCGGUGAAAUGCGCAGAUAUCAGGAGGAACACCAGUGGCGAAGGCGGAGAUCUGGGCCAGUACUGACGCUGAGGAGCGAAAGCGUGGGGAGCGAAAGGGAUUAGAUACCCCUGUAGUC
This 653-nucleotide ribosomal RNA is filed under the name uncultured Actinomycetes bacterium. Its description in RNAcentral is "bacterial SSU rRNA". It matches the Rfam family "Bacterial small subunit ribosomal RNA", at positions 126 to 795 of the family's 1533-position model. Lineage: Bacteria; Bacillati; Actinomycetota; Actinomycetes. The record is from RNAcentral.